AGGGCACCACCAGGAGUGGAGCCUGCGGCUUAAUUUGACUCAACACGGGGAAACUCACCCGGCCCGGACACCGUAAGGAUUGACAGAUUGAUAGCUUUUUCAUGAUUCGGUGGAUGGUGGUGCAUGGCCGUUCUUAGUUCGUGGAGCGAUUUGUCUGGUUUAUUCCGAUAACGAGCGAGACUCUGGCCUACUAAAUAGUUGACGCAUUGCCACUGUGCGCACAACUUCUUAGAGGGAUUUUCGGUGUUCAACCGCACGAAAUUGAGCAAUAACAGGUCUGUGAUGCCCUUAGAUGUCCGGGGCUGCACGCGCGCUACACUGGCAGAAUCAACGUGCCUGUCCUCCCCCGAAAGGGGUUGGUAAACCGAUGAAAAUUUGCCGUGAUUGGGAUCGGACAUUGCAACUAUUGUCCGUGAACGAGGAAUUCCUUGUAGGGGCGAGUCAUCAACUCGUCCCGAAUACGUCCCUGCCCUUUGUACACACCGCCCGUCGCUGCCCGGGACUGAGCCAUUUCAAGAA
This 519-nucleotide ribosomal RNA is filed under the name uncultured eukaryote. RNAcentral describes it as "SSU rRNA". It matches the Rfam family "Eukaryotic small subunit ribosomal RNA", at positions 1161 to 1705 of the family's 1831-position model. The record is from RNAcentral.